Molecule: ribosomal RNA, 205 nt
Filed under: uncultured bacterium
Lineage: Bacteria
Description: partial 16S ribosomal RNA
Rfam family: Bacterial small subunit ribosomal RNA
Source: RNAcentral
CGCGCAGGCGGCAUCGCAAGUCGGUCUUAAAAAGUGCGGGGCUUAACCCCGUGAGGGGACCGAAACUGUGAAGCUCGAGUGUCGGAGAGGAAAGCGGAAUUCCUAGUGUAGCGGUGAAAUGCGUAGAUAUUAGGAGGAACACCAGUGGCGAAAGCGGCUUUCUGGACGACAACUGACGCUGAGGCGCGAAAGCCAGGGAGCAAAG